This 377-nucleotide unclassified non-coding RNA is filed under the name fungal sp. RNAcentral's name for it is "partial internal transcribed spacer region". The stretch from base 1 to 46 matches the Rfam family "Eukaryotic small subunit ribosomal RNA", at positions 1786 to 1831 of the family's 1831-position model. Lineage: Eukaryota; Fungi. The record is from RNAcentral.
AAGUCGUAACAAGGUUUCCGUAGGUGAACCUGCGGAAGGAUCAUUAACACGUAUCCAAACGUUAAACCCCCCUGUGAACCUUCACCUGUACUCGUACGUCCGUUAGAAAAAGCAGCAAUCCCUGGUAAAUCAUCGCCGAACAGUUUUCGAUUCAGGGAUGUCUGCAAGGAGCGUGCAUGUUGUGCGAGCAAGUGGCCUGGCAUCCCCAAGCAGUUAGUGUCUGAAAGUGUCAUUAACUGUGUAAGGAUGACGCAGUCACGAUCGUUGGAGGCCCACACGGCCGACGACCGGGUCACUGGGCGCAAGCCCCCCUAUAACAAACGCUGCUAAUCGCGGCCGCGAUAAUACGCAGUCGACCAAAAACCGAACAACUGUUC